RNAcentral lists this ribosomal RNA (497 nucleotides) under uncultured bacterium. Its description in RNAcentral is "partial 16S ribosomal RNA". It matches the Rfam family "Bacterial small subunit ribosomal RNA", at positions 28 to 507 of the family's 1533-position model. The record is from RNAcentral.
GACGAACGCUGGCGGCGUGCCUAAUACAUGCAAGUUGAGCGCUGAAGGUUGGUACUUGUACCGACUGGAUGAGCAGCGAACGGGUGAGUAACGCGUGGGGCAUCUGCCUUUGAGCGGGGGACAACAUUUGGAAACGAAUGCUAAUACCGCAUAAAAACUUUAAACACAAGUUUUAAGUUUGAAAGAUGCCAUUGCAUCACUCAAUGAUGAUCCCGCGUUGUAUUAGCUAGUUGGUGAGGUAAAGGCUCACCAAGGCGAUGAUACAUAGCCGACCUGAGAGGGUGAUCGGCCACAUUGGGACUGUGACACGGCCCAUACUCCUACGGGAGGCAGCAGUAGGGAAACGUCGGCAAGGGACGAAAGUCUGACCGAGCAACGCCGCGGGAGUGAAGAAGGAUGUCGGAUCGUAAAACUCUGUUGGUAGGGAAGAACGUUGGUGAGAGUGGAAAGCUCAUCAAGUGACGGUAACUACCCAGAAAGGGACGGCUAACUACGUG